This 424-nucleotide ribosomal RNA is filed under the name uncultured bacterium. Its description in RNAcentral is "bacterial SSU rRNA". It matches the Rfam family "Bacterial small subunit ribosomal RNA", at positions 356 to 772 of the family's 1533-position model. The record is from RNAcentral.
GGGGAAUAUUGCACAAUGGGCGCAAGCCUGAUGCAGCCAUGCCGCGUGUAUGAAGAAGGCCUUCGGGUUGUAAAGUACUUUCAGCGGGGAGGAAGGCGAUGCGGUUAAUAACCGCGUCGAUUGACGUUACCCGCAGAAGAAGCACCGGCUAACUCCGUGCCAGCAGCCGCGGUAAUACGUAGGGGGCAAGCGUUGUCCGGAUUUAUUGGGCGUAAAGCGCUCGCAGGUGGUUCAUUGCGUCGUGCGUGAAAGACCCCGGCUCAACUGGGGAGGGUCGUGCGAAACGGGUGAACUAGAGGCCAGUAGGGGGAUGCGGAAUUCCGGGUGUAGUGGUGGAAUGCGUAGAGAUCCGGAGGAACACCAGCGGCGAAGGCGGCAUCCUGGACUGGUCCUGACACUCAGGAGCGAAAGCGUGGGGAGCGAU